AAAUCAACAUUAUAACGGCGUAAAGAGUGGUCACAUGCUAUCCAAGUAACUAAGAUUAAAAAGCAACUGAGUCGUCACAAGCUAAAGAUGCGUACAAGGCCUCUAUUCAAAGAAAAUCUUAGACUAACGAUCGAUUGAAUCCACGAAAGCCAGGGCCCAAACUGGGAUUAGAUACCCCACUAUGCCUGGCCCUAAAUCUUGAUGCUCGAUCUAACCGGAGCAUCCGCCCGAGAACUACGAGCACAAACGCUUAAAACUCUAAGGACUUGGCGGUGCUCCAAACCCACCUAGAGGAGCCUGUUCUGUAAUCGAUGAUCCACGAUAUACCUGACCAUUCCUUGCCCAGGACAGCCUAUAUACCGCCGUCUCCAGCCCACCCUCCAUGAAGGCCCAACAGU
RNAcentral lists this ribosomal RNA (398 nucleotides) under Garrulax milleti. RNAcentral's name for it is "partial 12S ribosomal RNA". It matches the Rfam family "Bacterial small subunit ribosomal RNA", at positions 542 to 1026 of the family's 1533-position model. Lineage: Eukaryota; Metazoa; Chordata; Aves; Passeriformes; Leiothrichidae. The record is from RNAcentral.